AGUCCUAGGAAAAGACUAGAAGGAACACUUAUGGUGUGAUUUAACCGCAGCCAGCAACUAAAUACUAUACAGCUGCUCGCUCGCUCUCCACCCUCACCUGCACUGAUGGGGUGGGAAGGAGAAUUGGGAAAAGGUAAAACUCAGGGGCUGGGAUAUGAACAGACUGAUAAUCAAAGUAAAGUAAAAUAUAAUAUAAUAAUAGUGAUUAAAAGGGAGGUAGCAAAAAGAGAGGAAUAAAGCCCAGAAAAACCAAGUGAUACACAAGACAACUGCUCACCACUUACUGACCAAAGCCCAGCCUGUCCCUGAGGAGCAAUCAGCCCCUCCCAGCCAACUCCUCCCAGUUUAUAUACUAGGCAUGACAUUCUAUGGUAUGGAAUAUCCCUUUGGCCAGUUCAGGUCAGCUGUCCUGACCAUACUCCCUCACGGCUUUUCGUGUGUCUCCUUGUUGGCAGAGUAUGAGAAAAAGGAAAGUCUUUGACUUAGGGCAAGUACUGCAGAGCACCAACUGAAACAUCAGUGUGUAAUCAGUAUGAUUUUCCUACUAAAUCCGAAAUGCAACACUGUACCAGCUACUAGGAAGAAAAUUAACUCCAUCUCAGCCAAAACCAGGACAACUGGUCAUCUAGCCUACCUUUGUAUCUCAACCUAGUGUUAAAAAGCUUCAACAAAUGAGACUUGACAACCUGCUUUGAUAAGCCAAUAGUAGGGAGAGGUGCUGGAGAAGUGAUUCCUCUGCAGCCCAUUGUGAAGACCACAGUGAGGCAGGCUGUCCCCCUGCAGCCCACAGAGGUCCACAGUGGAGCAAAUACCCACUAUGGAGCAGAUAUCCCACAGAAGAACUCAAAACAGAGCAGGGGAAUGCCUGAAGGAGGCUGUGACCCUUUGGGAAGCCCAUGCUGGAACAUGCUCCUAGCAGGACCUUGUGGCCUCAUGGAGAGAGUAACCCAUGCUGGAGCAGGUGAGGAGGGGAGUGAUAGAAAGACUUCUGUGGGCAUCUGGUGUCCAGCCAGAUAUAACCCACCUCGGUCAGCAAGAAGACAUUUGGAAAGAACUGUCAGUGGAACUGAAUGCAGUGUUUCCAAUUCUUCCUGGCAAGUGAAGGAAUAAAGAAGUAAAGAAUGAAGUCAGGAUCACACUAUGGGAAUACCAUUGUAUUUUUCUAAUUAAUUCCAUUCAAGAAAAUCUUAAUUGAAUAUUUUAGAGUUAAGAUAACAAUGCUGUUAAACAGCAACACAAUUUGAUGAAGUCAACAAAGCAUGACUGUGAUAAUAUAAAGAAAAAUUCAAAUACAUUAAUUUGCCCAUUAGCCUUAUCCUAUUCCCUUUGGAUUUUAUUUUCUGUGCUUUAUUUUUUAACCUCAGAGCUGCAUUCAUGUAUUAUUAAAUCACUAACAACUGUUAUUUAAAAAUCUUGGCUUUCUGAGCCCAGUUAGUAAUCUGGAUGAGCGAUCUACCUCCCUAGGGGAAUUUUCCUAUGCAGAAGCUGGUAUGACCUCCACUCAAACAGUUUGCAUGCAUAAUUAUAUUUCUGAUGGGCUCUAAUUUUAUACAUAAGAUGAAAAUAAUUUGUAGUGAAUUUUGUCUGGCAAUUUGACCCUUUACAUUUUUUUUCUUUAGUUUUACCUUACCCAUGUUAGUAAGCAAAUAAUGCAUUUUUGUGCCAUGGAUAUUCAAAUAAUCAAAUAACUAUUAAAUUAUGCACUUGACAUCCUUACAGAUAGCAUAUGCCUGCAUUAUUUGGCAGAAGUCAAAUGUACAAAUAUGUACUGCAUGCAAUGCUCCAUAUCUGUGUAUAGUUAAACCAACAUGAGGACAGUGGUUAUACUGUUCUAGGCCUGUGUAACCACACAGUUUGGAAUGUUUGAAUAAAUUGCUGAAUGAAACUCAUUAGGAAUUAUAUUUAUGAGGUUUACAGAGGGCAGAUGCUCCCUUUCUAGAUACUGACAGCUGCCACAUCCCCAUUCAGACCUUUAGCAGGUUCCAGGUAGCAAUGUAAAUACACUAGUCCUAAGUAAAAAGUAUCUAUCAGUUGAAAAUUUUGGCAUCUAGCAAUCUCUGGUAAUGUGCAAAACCGCAAGCCAGCCAGCCUGUGCCUUUCUUUUUUAAUUCCUCCCCUGUAAUUUGACAGAUCUUCAGGUAAAGUGCAGAAGAGUUGAUGGAGACACUGACAGCUCUAUAACUUUGCUCAGCCACUCUGAGGUUCAUAGAGCCCACCACAGACUGGAGUAAAUGUCUACUCAUUGUAAAACCUUCCCAGGUUUGAGAAAAAGAGGGUAAUAAACCUGAACAAGGAAUUACAAAUAAGCUGGGAGAGGAUCUCAGUGACUUGGGACCUUCAUUCUCUGGAAGAGUUUUACAUUGUCCUAGAGGACUCCCUUUUAUUGUGCUGUUAGCAACUGGGAAGACUUUCUCCUGGCUGGAUGCUUGUUUAACUUGAAGGGCCAAAGCCAUUUUGUUCUUUAGUAAGUUUGUAAAUUAGGCAUAUAGUCUUCAGUCUAUAUUUGCCAAUGUAAAUCAAAGGAACGGGUAUUUCCAUAGGAUUUUGGCAUUCUAUAGUUCUCUUUCUAACCUGUGUGACUACUGAUGGUGGCUUCCUAUUGCUACUCAGCACUGACUGUCAAAUGGAAAGGAAGUACCAAGCUGACAUAUGGUAAAUGAAUUAUCUUUUUAUAAAAGCUCAUAUUAGAGAUAAUUGAAAUGCAGAACAAUGUCAUCACAGUCACUUCUGAACACAGGAAAAUGAAAUAAUGCUUUCUGGAACAACAAAGGUAUCUCUGUGCUCUUAGAUAAAAUUGCUGAACUAACUAAAUAUGUUUACAGGAACUGCUUCUAGACUGUAGCUUGAAUGCCAGUUUUCAAAUGAAGAUAUAUUUUUAGACACAGUUCAUGAAUUGCUAAACCCAAGAUUUUCAAGUGGAAAUGCAAAGCUGCUGCUGCAACAGUCUGCUAUCGGUAAUUGUGAUUAAAACAGAAUAGGCAAUGGCACAAGCAGAGCAGCUGCAUGUUUAGAUUUCUUCCAAAACCAGUAUUGUGACAACUGAAGUAAUGUAUGUGCAUAUGUAUUUCAUCCCACACUGCAAAAAUUAAUUUAUUAUUUGUGAUAUUAUUGCUUAUGUAAUCUCCAUCCUAAACCAGGACUCUACAGUCAUGUGCUGAUAUAUAUGGUAAAUGGGAUACAGAGAGAAGGAAGACUACGAAGAGAUAUUAAAAUAAUAAUGAUCUACAUGCUUGGUUUCUGCCUAUCAAUAGCCUCUGCGUGGUAAGUAUUCUCCAGGUGUCGCAGAGAGGGAGAGCUUUACAGAAGCAUUUGAAGAGGCCUUAUGAAGUAAAAGAGAAGCUCCUUCAGAAGUGAAAUGGAGAGAGCCAACAUCAGAAGCAGAUGAAGGGUCAUGGUGUUUGCUUAAACCCUGCAUGAUGUUACAGGCAGCAAGAGGAGCUGGCACCAUAAUAAAAGCAGUGCCUUAAUGAAAAUAAAAUGGGGAAGCAUAAGCCACAGGUGAAGGCAAUGAGCUUAUGCUUGCUGUGAUAGAGAAGGAUUAUACACUGAGCAGUCCCACAAUUUCUGGUAAUAAUCUGAAUGUGUAUAAACGUUUGCCUCUGCUGAAAGUGAGGUGAGGUUUGUAGAAAUACAAGAAGCAGGCAAACCCCUUCUUAGGGAGUUUUGACAAAACAUACAGAUAAUGAGGAUUUGGUAACUGAGUCAUGCAGUUUUUAGUUUAAAAAUCUUGGCUGAGCGGAAGUAUGUGGAUGGGUGAUAAUUCUGAUGAGUAUCAGUUUUCCAUUACAAGUUGGGGCUAUAACUUUCCAUUUAUUUUAACUUGUAUGAAAUUCAUUUUAAAGUCAAUCUUCUCACAUCUGUUUCACUUUAGUGUUGUUACACUCUGCAAGGAGACUGUGGUCCAGAGAGUUAAUCAGCAGCAAAAAUUGUAAUGAGUAGAGGAGGAGAAUCUAUAUGGUUAUUGAAUCCCCACCAUUGUUUUUCUCUCUUAAGACCUUAUGCAAAGGCCUGGGAAGUGAAAAAAACCCUUCCACUACCUUGCUUUGAGCUUUGGGUUUGUCUCCUGUACCUUAUUAAUUGUACCAGCAAGCAGAUCAAAUAAAUUAAUAGGGAUGAAUAUUGCAUUGGUAUCAAAUAAUGUACAGAAUUGUUGAACUUGCCAUCAAAGAUGCACUCUGUAGUAUGUUUAAUUCAAAAAGUCAUUCAAAAUGAGAAGUGCAGAUAUGCUGGGAUAAUAAAUAAACCAAUAUGCUACUGUUGAUUUGAUGACACCUCUGAAAAUAUUGGUCUGAUAUAAACUACUUCCAGGUGCUACUGAUGUCCUGGUCUGCACUGCUUGCAUUACGUGUUUUACUGUGUUAUAGCUGAGCCAGCCUGCUAGACAGUUGUGAGGCAGGAAUGAACAGAAGCAGAACUUUUUCCCAAAAACCUUCAGCUCACCUCAUGAUUAACUCAGUUCUUGUUUUUCCAAUUACCCUCCCAAAUUUAUACUUUUUCCAACCAACAUCUUAAAAAGACUACAAUAACAUGUUUUUUAAUUUCUGUCUUCUUUCUAUUUAUUUUUUUUGUCAGGGAAAUUGCAUAUUUUUUUAAUAUGCAUACUGUAUCUUCCAUCUUCUAUCUUUCCUUUGUCACAGUACUGCUCCUCUGAGAGAGACCCCAGUGAGCCUCUUUUUGACUGUGUGAGGAUGCAACUUGCCUGAACCUGAGAGCGUCAUGACUGACAGUGAAAAAGGAUGGGUUACUAGACAGCCUUAAGACACGUCUUCACUAAGCUAAAGGUCAAAUUUAGAUCAGGCUUAAAAAAAAAAAAAGAUAAAUCAUCCCUCUAUAGAUAUGCCUGUUUAUCUAUGGGUUGCCUUUGAGGAUAGGCCUUUCUGCCUGUAACCUCUUGAGAAUGAUGCUAGACCUACAGAAAUCCUUAGGGCACUAGCAUAGUCAGAAUAAGCAUCAGGAGAUAUGAUUCUGUGAAAAUAGUACUGCAGAAGCCUAUUCUGAGAAAGUGCAAAGGGAUGUCUGAUAAACGCGAACUAUUUCUGUCUUCGCUCUCCUUGUUAACUAUUCACUGGGUUGCCAGCAUGUGGAAGUGAUUCCAGCAGCAAGCUGAAAACCUACAGACAGCUUUAAAACUAUUAGAAAUAUGCGGAGGCUUUGAAAUCUAAGAAGGAUCGUUAUGAGUAUUGACUUCAAUCUCCUGUAUCACCCACCUCAUUACUUCAGCUGCUGCUAUACUUCCCCUCAGUUACCAGUGUGACCGAGUCCUGCCUAACACAGUGGAGGUAAGAAUACCUGAACAGAAGAGACAGGAUAGGACCACAUGGGGUGCAAAACAGAAGAUGGAAGACUGCAUUGAAAACACGUCCUCGAUAUUGUUUGGUCCUAGUUUUUCCUGCCAGCUUCAAGGGCGCAAAGAUACAUGUACACUUAAUGCACUCUGGACGGCAACAAGGCAUACUUGGCAAUCUCAACAUUGUAUUCACCAUGGGUUUUGGCAAUAUAUGUACCGUUGUUUUUGCUAAUAGUAAUUAUGGCUCUGAGAGGUAUAAAAUGCCUGAUAUUCCAGUGGAAUAUCAAGUUUAAGACUAAAGUGAAACCUUAAAAAUUCCAUUAUUAUUACAAUUUUAAUAAUUUUAGCAUAAAUAUCCAGCUAUUUUGGGGUUGUGAAUGGAAUUUUAAAACAGUAUCACUAGGUGUUGUUAGAUUUGACUUCAUACCUACAGUUUACUAAGAAUAAAAAAAAAAUGCCUUGUGAUUGAAUACUAUUCUGAAUUCUGGUUAAGUAAAUGGUUCUUUUAAGGUGUGUGUUUCCCCUCAGAUUCGUAUUCAUUUUACAAGUUAUGCAGCUAUAGCUGAAAAAUGAGUCUUGUACUCUACUGAGUAUGUUUGCAAUGGCAUUAAAUGAUUUGUGGUCAUCUUCAGUUAACAUUGACCAUAAAGACUAUAUUCUAUAAUAUCCUUGAAGUAAGGCCAACAUUACCCUUUUUAACUUUUUUUUAAAUGCAAUUUCUGUUAUUGCAUGUUUUCCUACUUUGCUGAUACUCCUGGAGGAAGACUACUUCAAUAUUCUGUUUGGAAGUACCUCAGUUUUAUGUCACCUUUUCUCCCGUAACAUAUUGCUGUUAUUUCCUCAGAUUUUUCGGAGUUUUUAAUAUGUGCAUUUCACUGCCACUCACCCUCUACUAGUUUGAAUGGUAAGAAUAGGCACCAUGUCCCUUACCAGUUCAUCUUUCUCUGGAAUCUCUUUCCUCUCUCUUGGGUCAAUCAUGCUAAAGGUAGAUAAAAUCUAUUUUAUCUAACAUGUCAAUGUCACUCUAUUAACUUUCCUCUGUGGUAUGCUGUUUCCAUUAUAGGAAUUUAGAAGCUUGGGAAGGGAAUUAAUAUCCAACUUUAGCCAGGCAAAUUUGGGUUUUCUUCCAAAGCUUCUCAGAAUCUCUGGUCAUGCACUUCUUUUCUCCUCACAUCAGAAUGUCCUUUAUUCAUAUCAUAGUCUGCUACAUUGCCAUCUAUAGUUCACUGGUUUUCCAGUAAAGCUGCUGAUGGGAAUGCCAGUUGAAGGAAACUGUUUCCUUCAAUGUAAUAUGCUCACAAAAAUGGUGUGGCAUUGGUUUUUUUCCUUAACAGUACCUGCUUGCAACCUGCCAACACAUUGUGUGUAUAAAAAUAUUUGCCAUCUAACACAUCUCCAGAAGUACUUCUUCUUAUGGAAAUUUUCCUUGAGGAAAAUGUUCACUUCACAUAUAUAUAUAUAUGUAUAUGUAUAUAAUCUCCAUGAUGCUACACAGCAGGUAAGAAUUGUGGGUUUUGCUCUUUUAGCAAUGAGGAGUGAAUUGACUCUGCUUUUCUACUAAACACACAAUUUUACAACAAUGACCCUGUCUGGCUUCAUUUUCUGCUGCUAUUCAAUAGGGAGAGAAAAAUUAUAUAAGUCAGGAGCAGUGUGGUGACUGGGCUAUUAACUCACUUCCAUUCUGCACAGUUAAAAGAGCUUCUCUCCUGUGGAUCA
Long non-coding RNA from Neopelma chrysocephalum (saffron-crested tyrant-manakin), 7003 nucleotides. RefSeq lists it as uncharacterized. Lineage: Eukaryota; Metazoa; Chordata; Aves; Passeriformes; Pipridae. The record is from RefSeq and is a predicted model, not a curated record. The transcript is spliced from 4 exons.